Centruroides sculpturatus (bark scorpion) is the source of this 743-nucleotide long non-coding RNA. RefSeq lists it as uncharacterized. The transcript is spliced from 4 exons. Lineage: Eukaryota; Metazoa; Arthropoda; Arachnida; Scorpiones; Buthidae. The record is from RefSeq and is a predicted model, not a curated record.
UCAAUUGUCAGGUCACCAUAGUAUUUGAAAUUUUAUGUGAACUUAUUUGCUCCGUUAUAUAGCACAUUGCAUAUUACAUUUAUUAUUAUACUUAAUACCAUAAUCUAGAUUGAAGCUGGUGCUUUGAUGAAGGAAAAGUUUGUUGAGCCCUGGUUUAAGAAUUUCAAAAAAUUUUGUUGUUGUUUCAUUUAUAGUUACAUUAUUAUUUUGCAGUUAAGUUGUUAAAUCAUCAGAUGCUUUUAUCAGAUUAUUGAUCAAUAGGAUUUAUCAUGGUGGAACUUUUUUACUGUAUUUAAUAUUAAAUGCUACACAAAAUAAGGAGGAACGAAAAAAUUUAAAUUUUCGAACCAUACUGAAACAACUGAAUAUUAAUAAAAGUCCAGGUGGAACACCGAUGAUGCAUAAUACUCAGUAUGGGGAUUCAUUUACACCACCAGCAAUUCAAGUUGCUAGGAAACUUAUGAAUUCUAGAGGCCUUUUAUCGUCACCCAAGAAGAAAUAUAAAGAAAAUGCAUCAGACACAUUUGAAAUUCUCAAAUUUUGAUGGUUUUGUAUUAUAAAAGUUGAUUUUUAAUUUCAAUGCCUUAUUUAUUUUAUAAAAAAUAUCAGACUUGUUUUGAUUAUGUAUCAUCACAUAUGUUACAUUUUAAAAAGUUUUUAAUAGGAAAAAAGAAAAAAACUUUAAAACUGUAUAUAUUAACAAUUAUAGCAUCAUAACUUUUAGCCAAUUAUUUUAGUUUUAU